RNAcentral lists this transfer RNA (64 nucleotides) under Ipomoea nil (Japanese morning glory). It matches the Rfam family "tRNA". From Rfam's summary of the family: Transfer RNA (tRNA) molecules are approximately 80 nucleotides in length. Their secondary structure includes four short double-helical elements and three loops (D, anti-codon, and T loops). Further hydrogen bonds mediate the characteristic L-shaped molecular structure. tRNAs have two regions of fundamental functional importance: the anti-codon, which is responsible for specific mRNA codon recognition, and the 3' end, to which the tRNAs corresponding amino acid is attached (by aminoacyl-tRNA synthetases). tRNAs cope with the degeneracy of the genetic code in two manners: having more than one tRNA (with a specific anti-codon) for a particular amino acid; and 'wobble' base-pairing, i.e. permitting non-standard base-pairing at the 3rd anti-codon position. Lineage: Eukaryota; Viridiplantae; Streptophyta; Magnoliopsida; Solanales; Convolvulaceae. The record is from Rfam by way of RNAcentral.
GCUGGAAUAGCUCAGUUGGCUAAAGCGUGUGGCUGUUAACCACAAGGUAGCCCUCCUUCUAGCG